This is an unclassified non-coding RNA of Acanthaster planci (crown-of-thorns starfish), 3607 nucleotides long. The record is from RefSeq and is a predicted model, not a curated record. NCBI's taxonomy places the organism in Eukaryota, Metazoa, Echinodermata, Asteroidea, Valvatida, Acanthasteridae.
GUGCAUUUGUAAGAAAAACUUUGCUUGCCAUGGAUCAUAAAUAAUUGAACACCAAAAUUUAUUUCAAAGAUUAAAAGAGGAACUUUCAGUGACAAAUGUAUUGGGGCUUUUUCCCAUCGCGUAGUGUUACAACUAGCACAAAGACAAGGAAGACUGAGUCAUUAGAGGGCGCUAUUAAUGAAAAUAUAUUUAUCUUUUGCUGUUAUAAAUCCAACGGAGAAUCUAGACGCCAACUUUUGCGCUCCCUGCAAAUUCAAUGCUUUUCCGUAACAUCUUUGAGGUCUGGUAUCCAGACUUCCUUCUUUACAAGAGGAACCUCCAGCGUACCACUCGGUUCAACUCAAAUCGGCGUGCGCGUGACCGGUGACCGGUCAUACAUACUGCACAUGUACACUACAUGACAGAUGUUUGUUGCGGUAGUGAUGUGCUUGUAAUGUAAGUUGUAUUCUUUCCACUUUGUACUGGUUCUGCACUGAAGUACAUUUACCAAUUCCAAGUGCUACAGUAUGGAGACUAGUGUACAAUCUAAACAAGGGUUACAAGAUGACCUGAAGCCGAUGCCUGGCUGCGACCUUCGACCUGCGACCUCAAGUAGUAACCUAGCUGCAAGUUACCAGGCUGCAGUAGAUUUUACCGCGGGGGCUUUAGGUGGUGUGGCAUGUGUCUUAGUUGGUCAACCUUUUGAUACAGUCAAAGUCAAGCUCCAGACCUACCCCAAUCUCUACCCCAGUGCUAUGAGAUGUUGUGGACAGAUCUUCAAGAAAGAGGGGAUUCCAGGUUUGUUUCGGGGCACUCUUCCUGCAAUGGCAGCUAAUGUUGGAGAAACAUCCGUCUUAUUCUUAUGCUAUGGACUCUGUCAGAAGUUUGUGUGUCGCCUCUCGGGAACAGACAAUAUAGAAAAUUUGUCAGUUAUUCAGAAUGCCUCAUCAGGGUUUGUUGCUGGCUUCUUUUCAUCGCUUGUCCUUUGUCCAACGGAGCUUGUCAAAUGUCGUCUACAAGCUAUGACAGAGGUCAUGGCCACCUCUCAGAAACAAACACAGAGAAUAGGACCUUGGCAAAUAACCAAGAAUAUCCUCAGGAAUGAAGGCAUCUUGGGACUCUUCCAAGGUUUAACAAGCACGUGGGUACGGGAGAUGCCAGGCUAUUUCUUUUUCUUCUUCUUCUAUGAAAUCUCAAGAGCUGUGCUUACCCCAGCAGGAACUAGCAAGGAUGAUUUGAGUCCAUUACGUCAAAUGGUCUGUGGUGGCAUGGCUGGAGCUGGUCUAUGGACAGCCAUAUAUCCAGUAGAUCUUGUCAAAUCUAGGAUACAAGUCAGAUCUGUCACGGAGAAAAUGCCAGGCUUUCUCUCAGUUACCAUGGAUAUUAUUAGGAAAGAAGGUUUUUUGAAGCUCUAUUCUGGUCUGGGUCCCUGUGUUCUACGAGCAUUCCCUGCUAAUGCUGCAUUGUUUCUCACCUAUGAAUGGAGCAGAAAACAGAUGAUGCUACACAGACCAGGUUGGGCAUUGUGAUGUCAUCGUUCAGGUCAUCAACAACAUUUUCAUAUAGGCAAUAAUUAAUGACAAUCUUUUUGCAUCCGCGGUCUGUCAUUGACCGUGUACAUUUAACUUUAGUUACAGCACUCUCGUUUAAAGAUCAGUCACAUUGGUAAUUCACAAAUUUCAAUUUUUUAUGAAAUUUAGUUAUAUUUUAAAUAGUCUCAAUUGGUAAAAGCCAAAUAAAGGUUGUUACUGAAGUCAAAAUCAAAAGUUGAAGUCCUUCAUCAUAUCAGGCAAACUGAAAACAAAAGUUGUGUGGAGCAUCCAGUAGAAGCCUGUUUUGAUGACGUCACACUAUGGCUCUGCAAUUAUAUGACUAUCAUUACUUCGAGGCAAACGAGCCUGCGUGCAUGAGCGCUGUACUUGCUCGCACUUAAUUGUAAAUUAAAAGAGGUAGGACAGUGAGAGCAACUUGGAAUUACCUUUCCAUCGACAAUGUUGAUCAACACUGGAUCUUAUGAUAACGUUGAACAGUCCCAAUUUGAAUCAGAGUAAGGUAGUGAUGAAUUCCAGGCAGAUGGCUGCAGUCAUUUGCCCAGAAUUACAUCUAACUUACUUUACGCAUUUUUUCUCUGUUAUUGUGCUAUAAAGCCACUUAUUAUGGCUGCAAGGUCAAGAAACUCUGGGGGAAUGAGAGCCAUAUUAUGACAUCAUCAAAUGGCCAAAUUUAUUUGCCGCCCUCAUCAAUGCUUUUUUUUUAACUCCCGCAUUCUCAUGGUAGAACUUUAACUCCCAAAAAUGACAAUUUUUUUUUUUAAUGCAAAGAGAAGUUGCCACAUUAGUCAUAAUAUGGGUAAUAAUGACCAAUUCCUUGUUAAAUAACCAAUAACCAAUGCAAUGUGAUUGAUCAUUAAAGCAUUUUCAAGUUGAAAUAUUACAUCCCAGAUAAGACAUGCAAAAUAUUGACCAGUGAUUUGUUGGUUCCGGUUAUAUGCAACGGUGCAUCAGCUGAAAUGGGUUGCCUUCCUGGACUGGCCUUCACUCCUUAAGCCUGGUAACGGUCCAACAGAAAAUCAGGCUUCACUGAAUCACUGAAAAUAUUUGCACUGAGACCUUGACAUAAAUACAUGAAAUUAAAAACUACUGAUUCAUGAAAAGCAAUCUAAUUUGUGAACUAACUCACCAAGAUAUUUCUCAAGUUUUUGAUCAUUUCUCGUUUUCAAUUUUUCAAAGUUCAGUGUGCAUUAUUUAUGUUGUCAUAGGGGCCACUGGUUCCUGGCCAUUCCACGUCAUUCUUGCUAUUUGUAGCCGUAGGAACCAGUUCACCAUGCAUGUAGUCUUCCACACAAUUUACCCGAUACAAGAUGCUUCACAUUUGCGAGGAAGCCUGCAGAGUUUGCAAAUCACCAAUUAUGACAGACAUUUUAUAUUUGACUCUUUACACGCUCAUCUUCAAAAAUAUUUACGGAAAAAUUCAAACAAUUUUGGAUGGCUCUGGAUGUGUUUGCCGUCAGAUUAUGCUGUACAGUGCAGGUGCACUUGUGCAUUGGUUUUAUGCUGUUACAUUAGUUUCAGCACUGCUCAGAUAAUGCAAAAUAAGCUCGGUACUGAGUUAUUGUAACGGUAAUCUGUAGCAUGCAGCACAUACAUACAUGUAGUGGCGAUCCACGUUGCUUUCCUUGUAGUCUUGAAUUCAAAGUCCAGUGGUGAAAGCAACUGAUAAUAAAUGCCUGUGGUGUGAAAGCUGGUACCCCGCUGCCGUUGUAAGACCACUUCAAAUGUCUGGCUUCUAAGUCCAAUGAAAUGCUCCUUCACCCAUGAACGUUUCACACUUACUUUGAUGAUGUACAGGUCAUUCUAUCUGUUACUGGGAGCAAAGUUGAAUAGGUCAUAGUUCACGCAAGUCAAAAAAUCAAUUUCUUUUUCUUUUUUUAUGAAAUUGGAAUUUUGAUUUUCAGUUUUAGACCUUAACCCACCCACUACUUAAAAAAGUAUCCAAGGAUAUGUAAUACAAAACUGCUGCAAACUGAUUGCUCCACUACAGUGACCUAACAUACAAAUCUUAAAAUAUGGAGGGCCUGACAUUUCGAUCCUAGCAGAAUCUUUCUCAAAGGCAAAUAUUCUGCUAGGAU